This 497-nucleotide ribosomal RNA is filed under the name uncultured bacterium. RNAcentral's name for it is "partial 16S ribosomal RNA". It matches the Rfam family "Bacterial small subunit ribosomal RNA", at positions 28 to 507 of the family's 1533-position model. The record is from RNAcentral.
GACGAACGCUGGCGGCGUGCCUAAUACAUGCAAGUCGAGCGGACAGACGGGAUCUUGCUCCCUGCUGUUAGCGGCGGACGGGUGAGUAACACGUGGGUAACCUGCCUGUAAGACUGGGAUAACUCCUGGAAACCGGGGCUAAUACCGGAUGGUUGUCUUUACCGCAUUGUUCUUACAUUAAAGAUGGCUUCGUCUACCACUUACAGAUGGACCCGCGGAGGAUUAGCUAGUUGGUGAGGUAACGGCUCACCAAGGCAACGAUGCGUAGCCGACCUGAGAGGGUGGACGGCCAAAAUGGGAAUGGGAAAAGGCCCAAAAGCCUAGGGGAGGCAGCAGUAGGGAAACUUCGGAAAAGGAAGAAAGUCUGACAGAGGAAAGCCGCGUGAGUGAAGAAGGUUUUCGGAUCGUAAAACUCUGUUGGUAGGGAAGAACAAGGGGGGGAGAAAAAGGGCGACAAAUUGACGGUACCUAACCAGAAAGCCACGGCUAACUACGUG